AUGCAUGUCUAAGUAUAAGCAACUAUACUGUGAAACUGCGAAUGGCUCAUUAAAUCAGUUAUCGUUUAUUUGAUAGUACCUUACUACUUGGAUAACCGUGGUAAUUCUAGAGCUAAUACAUGCGAAAAACCCCGACUUCGGAAGGGGUGUAUUUAUUAGAUAAAAAACCAAUGCCCUUCGGGGCUUCCUGGUGAUUCAUAAUAACUUAACGAAUCGCAUGGCCUUGCGCCGGCGAUGGUUCAUUCAAAUUUCUGCCCUAUCAACUUUCGAUUGUAGAGUAGUGGUCUACAAUGGUUUCAACGGGUAACGGGGAAUUAGGGUUCGACUCCGGAGAGGGAGCCUGAGAAACGGCUACCACAUCCAAGGAAGGCAGCAGGCGCGCAAAUUACCCAAUCCCGACACGGGGAGGUAGUGACAAUAAAUACUGAUACAGGGCUCUUUUGGGUCUUGUAAUUGGAAUGAGUACAAUUUAAAUCCCUUAACGAGGAACAACUGGAGGGCAAGUCUGGUGCCAGCAGCCGCGGUAAUUCCAGCUCCAGAAGCGUAUAUUAAAGUUGUUGCAGUUAAAAAGCUCGUAGUUGAAUUUUGGGCCUGGCUGGCCGGUCCGCCUCACCGCGUGCACUGGUCCGGCCGGGCCUUUCCUCCUGGGGAUCCGCAUGCCCUUCACUGGGUGUGCUGGGGAACCAGGACUUUUACUUUGAAAAAAUUAGAGUGUUCAAAGCAGGCCUUUGCUCGAAUACAUUAGCAUGGAAUAAUAGAAUAGGACGGCUUUCCUAUUUUGUUGGUUUCUAGGGAAGCCGUAAUGAUUAAUAGGGAUAGUCGGGGGCAUCAGUAUUCAAUUGUCAGAGGUGAAAUUCUUGGAUUUAUUGAAGACUAACUACUGCGAAAGCAUUUGCCAAGGAUGUUUUCAUUAAUCAGUGAACGAAAGUUAGGGGAUCGAAGACGAUCAGAUACCGUCGUAGUCUUAACCAUAAACUAUGCCGACUAGGGAUCGGGCGAUGUUACUAUCUUGACUCGCUCGGCACCUUACGAGAAAUCAAAGUUUUUGGGUUCUGGGGGGAGUAUGGUCGCAAGGC
This 1076-nucleotide ribosomal RNA is filed under the name Venturia pyrina. RNAcentral's name for it is "SSU rRNA". It matches the Rfam family "Eukaryotic small subunit ribosomal RNA", at positions 51 to 1137 of the family's 1831-position model. The record is from RNAcentral. Lineage: Eukaryota; Fungi; Ascomycota; Dothideomycetes; Venturiales; Venturiaceae.